GCAGUCGUGGCCGAGUGGUUAAGGCGAUGGACUGGAAAUCCAUUGGGGUCUCCCCGCACAGGUUCGAAUCCUGUCGACUGCG
Molecule: transfer RNA, 82 nt
Filed under: Ixodes scapularis (black-legged tick)
Lineage: Eukaryota; Metazoa; Arthropoda; Arachnida; Ixodida; Ixodidae
Description: tRNA-Ser
Rfam family: tRNA
About the family: Transfer RNA (tRNA) molecules are approximately 80 nucleotides in length. Their secondary structure includes four short double-helical elements and three loops (D, anti-codon, and T loops). Further hydrogen bonds mediate the characteristic L-shaped molecular structure. tRNAs have two regions of fundamental functional importance: the anti-codon, which is responsible for specific mRNA codon recognition, and the 3' end, to which the tRNAs corresponding amino acid is attached (by aminoacyl-tRNA synthetases). tRNAs cope with the degeneracy of the genetic code in two manners: having more than one tRNA (with a specific anti-codon) for a particular amino acid; and 'wobble' base-pairing, i.e. permitting non-standard base-pairing at the 3rd anti-codon position.
Source: RNAcentral